AGAGUUUGAUCCUGGCUCAGGAUAAACGCUGGCGGCGUGCCUAACACAUGCAAGUCGAACGUCCUACGCAAGUAGGGAGUGGCGGACGGGUGAGUAACACAUGGGUACCUGCCUUCAGGUGAGGAAUACCGGCGAGAAAUCGCCGACAAGACCGCAUAUCUUUCGCAAGAAAGAAAGCUCGCAAGGGCGCCUGAAGAUGG
RNAcentral lists this ribosomal RNA (200 nucleotides) under uncultured bacterium. Its description in RNAcentral is "partial 16S ribosomal RNA". It matches the Rfam family "Bacterial small subunit ribosomal RNA", at positions 8 to 228 of the family's 1533-position model. The record is from RNAcentral.